AGGAGAGUUUGAUCCUGGCUCGGGAUGAACGCUGGCGGCGUGCUUAACACAUGCAAGUCGAACGGAGUAUCAAGAAUGAAGUUUUCGGAUGGAUUUUUUGAUACUUAGUGGCGGACGGGUGAGUAACGCGUGGGUAACCUGCCUCAUACAGGGGGGAUAACAGUUGGAAACGACUGUUAAUACCGCAUAAGACCACAGUACCGCAUGGUACAGGGGUAAAAACUCCGGUGGUAUGAGAUGGACCCGCGUCUGAUUAGUUAGUUGGCGGGGUAACGGCCCACCAAGACGACGAUCAGUAGCCGAUCUGAGAGGAUGACCGGCCACAUUGGGACUGAGACACGGCCCAAACUCCUACGGGAGGCAGCAGUGGGGAAUAUUGCACAAUGGGGGGAACCCUGAUGCAGCGACGCCGCGUGAGUGAAGAAGUAUUUCGGUAUGUAAAGCUCUAUCAGCAGGGAAGAAGAUGACGGUACCUGAGUAAGAAGCCCCGGCUAACUACGUGCCAGCAGCCGCGGUAAUACGUAGGGGGCAAGCGUUAUCCGGAUUUACUGGGUGUAAAGGGAGCGCAGACGGCGCGGCAAGUCUGAAGUGAAACUCCGGGGCUUAACCCCGGAACUGCUUUGGAAACUGCCGAGCUCGAGUAUCGGAGGGGCAGGCGGAAUUCCCAGUGUAGCGGUGAAAUGCGUAGAUAUUGGGAAGAACACCGGUGGCGAAGGCGGCCUGCUGGACGAUAACUGACGUUGAGGCUCGAAGGCGUGGGGAGCAAACAGGAUUAGAUACCCUGGUAGUCCCCU
RNAcentral lists this ribosomal RNA (794 nucleotides) under uncultured Bacillota bacterium. RNAcentral's name for it is "bacterial SSU rRNA". It matches the Rfam family "Bacterial small subunit ribosomal RNA", at positions 1 to 799 of the family's 1533-position model. Lineage: Bacteria; Bacillati; Bacillota. The record is from RNAcentral.